Molecule: ribosomal RNA, 497 nt
Filed under: uncultured bacterium
Lineage: Bacteria
Description: partial 16S ribosomal RNA
Rfam family: Bacterial small subunit ribosomal RNA
Source: RNAcentral
GAUGAACGCUGGCGGCGUGCCUAAUACAUGCAAGUCGAGCGAACGGACGAGAAGCUUGCUUCUCUGAUGUUAGCGGCGGACGGGUGAGUAACACGUGGAUAACCUACCUAUCAGACUGGGAUAACUUCGGGAAACCGGAGCUAAUACCGGAUGAUAUUUUGAACCGCAUGGUUCAAAAGUGAAAGACGGUCUUGCUGUCACUUAUAGAUGGAUCCGCGCUGCAUUAGCUAGUUGGUAAGGUAACGGCUUACCAAGGCAACGAUGCAUAGCCGACCUGAGAGGGUGAUCGGCCACACUGGAACUGAGACACGGUCCAGACUCCUACGGGAGGCAGCAGUAGGGAAUCUUGCGCAAUGGGCGAAAGCCUGACGGAGCAACGCCGCGUGAGUGAUGAAGGUCUUCGGAUCGUAAAACCCUGUUAUUAGGGAAGAACAUUUGUGUAAGUAACUGUGCACAUCUUGACGGUACCUAAUCAGAAAGCCACGGCUAACUACGUG